GAGAGUGGCGCUGUGAAGGUCUAUCGCGCCGGGGUCUGCCCUCCUCCCCGCGGCCGUCGGGGCAGCCGCCCCAGGGCCGCAGCAACCGCCGCAGGCCGCGUUCGGGUGCCGUGGGCCCGCCAUUUCAAACAGCCAUCGCGUCCGACAGGCCUCGUCCUGGCCCUCUCCUCCUCAGCCUGUGUCUGGCCUGGCGUUUGGGAUUGCCACGGAGAGCAGCCAGAAGAUAACCCAAGGGGACAAGCCAGGUCUUGGCAGGUGCCACGGCUAAACAUGGCAGCAGGCGCAAAACACUACGGAAAAGCAAGGGUUAUUUGAUUUUAUCAUUGUCCGGGACAAUCAUGCAGGAAGAUCAAAAGACAUACAAGCAACACGAAAGAAAGCUAGGAAGAGAUGCAAGUGCAGAGAACCUGGCAAGACUACCACAUGAGUGACCUCGGGGAGGCUGAGCUGGCUUCUGGCUGGGUUUGAGACUCCAGGGUUAAAUCGAGCGAGUUACUUGCACUGGCUGCUUAGGAAAGGCAGAUGCACGACAAGUGGAAUUUUUUUUUUUUUUCUGUGCUUCUUGUCCCCCUGUAACUGGAAGACAGCCAAUAGCAGGAAUGCUGUUGCCUCAGAUCCCAACCAGAGGAGAUGAUUGCUUAAGGCAGAGCAUGCAUGAGGAAAGAUGUUUGCUUCCUAUUCUAUAGUACUUUCCCUGAUUUGUUACACAGCAUGACAAACAGAACAACACUUCCAUGAUGUUUAUAUGUUUUAUUUUACAUGCUAGCAGUAGAAUCAAGGCCGAGUGCCAAGAUAAUUAAUUAAUUCCACUUUCCUGAAUUACCCAUAAGGUUUAAGUUAUGUAUGGCAAUUAUCUCCUUUAAACUGUUAAGCGUGCAGAAAGUGGUUAUUGCCUGCUGUCUUUCUACCUGCACCAUGGCAGGGGCAGCAAACCUUGCCGUGCAUUUGCUCACGCAGUGACACAGAAGCGCUGCGCGCCUUCCUGCUGCUGUUAAGAGUCAUGACGAGCUGCGCAGGCAGCCCUGCGGUGCUGGGCUGUCCGCAUGCACGUUGCUGCCAGCAACUCACUGCCUGAGGAGUUCCCAUUCCAGGAGAUGAGGCAGAAAAGGGUAAGGCACCGGUGUAUCGUCGUCAUGGCUGUUACACGGAGGAAAAGACAGAGAGAGAUGAAGUGGCAGGCCCAAGGUCACCCUGAGGAGCCAGAAUCACUGAGGAAGCACGAAGGAGAAAAAGCGAAAGAGCUAUGGAGAAAAGGACAUUGAAACGCUCUUACAUCCAGCAGCAGGAUUGCAUUUGGCAGCACAUGCAUGCCUUUAAGCCAAACUUUCUCCGAUUCAAUGUUUUUGGCCAAAAAUCAGAAUUGGGUCCUUAACUGCAUAGGAUGGGCUGUAUUCUCAGAACAAAUCAAGUUUCUGUCAGUCUCAUCUCUGGGAAAAUGCAGAGGAUGGACCCAAAACUACAGUCUGAGCCACUGAAAGGUCGCAGUUUGCUAUAGUAGUUCUGUUAAAACCCAGCUACAAGAUAAAUUAAUAUAUGCUAAAAGCAAAAGCAAUCAAAUGCUUUUUGAAACCUAUAAAACAAUGUGGUUUCACUUAUGCUUUUUGAACCAGGCAGGUGGUGAAUUCCCAAGUAGAUUGUGUGUUGCCUGAACCCUUUGCUAUUUGAUUUGACUGGUAAUUAAAAUCUCGGGUAAAUUACAUGGAAAAUUUGUGCUGACUGAUUCCUCUCAUGGCUUGGGUAGUCCAGGUGGAUCAAGCAGGGGAGAAGAUGUAGGGACUUCCAGUUAGAAGAGAACCAUCAAAGCCUGUGGAGGUUGGCACUGGUACUUGCUGGUUCUUUGCAGACAGCACAUGAAAAGCAGAGCCCUUCAGGUGCUCAUUUCCAAUAACUAGUUUCAAAACCUCAAUGGCAACUGUGUGAAAGGUUUAAUUUUUAUUCAUGACCUUUCUGGGCCAGUGGGGCCAAGUAGGUUUAAGUAGGUGAUAUUUAAAAGAUCCCAUUUGGUCUUCCCUUUUGGAGAUACCAGAAGACAUGGUUAUCUCAGAAAGGAUCAAAUGCCAUAGCAGACGUUCUUUAGAGGUUCCUGAAUGGAGACCCAAGUGCCACCUGAGAUUCCUGGGAGAGAGGAUUGGCAUGCCUAAAUGCAAAUGAUUCUCAUACUCAGGAAGAGAGUCUGGCUUUGGGACCCUGGGUUUCAAACUUGUCCUGGCAGACUUUCCUUAACUCAUUUGAUUCUUUCUUCUCAAAGAAAGCUGGAUAGAAAAGUUUUGUCAACAGAAUCGAGCUGAUGAGUAGAUUUUUUUAUGUCUGCUAGGCUACUUCUGCAUCCCUGUGUAAGCUAAUGCUGACUUAAAGAUUCAUCUUAAGGACUUUCAAAUAUAUCCCUGGAUCCCAGCCAGAUGCCAUGAGCCAAUGGUCCAAGAAGAAAUGGUCUCCCUAGGAAAAAAUGAAGAGAGGGAUGUGAAGGAUAAUUGGUUUUACUGGCUGAGGUAAACCAUAGUUGCAAUAUGCAUGACCUCUAGUACUUUUUAUGGGGAACAUAGCCAAAAUCUGUUAGACGCAGUUAAUUGUGGAAACUCUUGUGGCAAAGAGAUAUUCUUACAGGUUUGCUAAUCCUUCCCUGUCGUAAAAGUUUGUCUCACCAGAUGAAAUAUAUCUUUAUAUUCAUCAGAUUAACGUAUAAAGCAUACACUGAAUUAUUGUUUGAGUAGGCAAAUAAGACCCUGGUGUUGCUUUGUCUUGUCAUGGAAGGUCUUUGAGGCCUCAUCCACACUCAGCAGUAAAUUCAUAUUCACCCUUGGGGUGAUCUGGCAGAGAGGAGAACAGGAGGGGCAGUGCCGCUGCCACCCUGCAAUAGCAGAGGAGCUGCUGGCGAGGUUGGGCUGUACAGCCUUUACCUCUGCUGUAGAGAUGUUUUAUUAAUGCACUUUUAGAAGUAAAUGUAGCCAUUUGUCUUUUUGCAUCCUCUUCUCGAUAGUGGAUGUAACUACAUUUCAGGCAAAAGCUGAGCAAGGAGAAACUUUUUUCCAAGACAAAAAUGCUGAAGUGAUGACUGUCCACUUGAAUGUAGACAUAAGGAAAGGCUGAAGCAGAUCUGUCCUCCUUUAUCCUUUCUGGCAUCGCCCAAGAAACCUUGUUCUCCAUGUAAAGAAACAGAGUUUAUAUAAAGCAUGAGAGAGCCCCUGAAGAAUGUGGAAUUAAGAUUUAUUUAUUCGAGUCCUUAUUUUUGCUGAUGUAGGUUAUCCCAGGAUAUUCAGUGGAUAGGAGGCUAAAAACUUGGUACAAUGAUGGUUGGCUCAGAGAUAGGCCUCAAUGUUCAUAUAGGGAAAACAAAAGCUUUCCAUAUUGUGCGUAAACCAUCAACCCACUACUCCUCUGCUCCUCUCAGAACAUUGGUUUCCUGCUGCCAGUAAUGCACAUCAACAUACCUUAUAAAAAAUGGCUGCUUAACCUCAUUACCAGAAUUACCUGUGCCGCGUAGCAGUUCCACAGAUCUUUUACUCUCCUCUCUCGACCUGCCUGUGCUGGAUUCCUUUCCCCCACUGUUACUACAGUUUUUCUUACUUAUAAAAAGAACACACAUCUUGUCUAUACACAUCUCAUAUGCAAAUCGGCAUAUGAGGGAAAACUUGGUCUUUAGAGACAGAAAACUUGGUCUGAGACAGAAGGAAGUGCACCCAAGAUACUUGCACUUUUAACCUGCUUUCAUACAGAAAUACAUAUUCUCAUCAUGCUGCCUGUGUGCCUAUCUUUCAGUCCUCUGUAACUUUUGAAUUUGCUGACUAAUUUCUGUCUACUUGAUGAAGGAAACUUGACAUUAAUUUCUUCUGUGUUCAGUGAAAAUUAGUAGCCGAGCAGAGUUGAGGGGCCUGACUUAUUUUUCUGCUGAGGGAAAGACUUUAUUAUGAGUAAAACAUUAUUUCUGGGCAUCAGAAAAUCCACAUGGGAGAGAAAAAGAGCUGAUAGAUGCCUCAACCACAGGAAAAGUUUCAAUCAGAGUUUGCAUCUUAUUAGACACAGGAUAAUUCAACCACAAGACACAAAGCCACAGGAAACUGGACUUCAUUUUCUGUAGCUACUUGUUUUCUUAAAUCAGAAUGUUUGGGGUUUUCCUCUCUCUUCACUUCCAGCGAAUUAUUACUGUGCUGUGAUCCUAGACUUUGAACUUACAGCAUCUUUAUUUUUUUAACUGUAGCUCCCUUUCUAUUAGUUUGUAAUACCCCAUCAAUGUAAAAGUUAGUUGUGUAAAAUGUGGUUAGUAAGUCUGAGUAUUAAAAAUGUUUUUGUGACAUUUGUGUACUGAUUAACUGUAGACUUUCAUUAUGUUUAAAAAUAGUAAGGAAAAGUACUUUUCCAAGGACUGAUUUCAUUUUCCAAACAAUAAUGUGUGUGCAACUUAUUUCUAGUAGAUACUAUGGUUAUGAUUACAUCGAGAUUUCACUAUAGCUCUCAGCUUACAAUUCCUUGAGAAAAAAAUUACACUUUUGACUUAAAUUGUCUCUAUUUGUUUAAAGCCUUGAGGAUUAAUUUACUUUGGGGGCAUUGUUAUUGUUUAUUAAGUUAUUUCUUUGGUUAGUAUAUUAUUUAUUCAGUGAGAUCUGUUUUCACUGCUGGCUUACAUAUGGGAGGAAAAGUGUCAUUUUUAAAGCAGAAACAAGUGAGAUUAAAUAUUAUUUGUAUAUAGUUCUUCUUUUCAGUGUCUGUGUUACUUCCUAAAAGAGGCAAGAAGGAAAAGGGUAAGACUUUCCAAACUACUACAUGUGGGAAUUACUCGACUUACUGUCUCUCUUUUCUUUUUUUUUUAAUUCCUUGUAGCCAGUAGGCUGGUGCAUGGCAUGCUUCUUUGUGUGGUAAAUCCAAUUCAGUCCAGUUCAAAUCACCAUCCAGUUCGGUACUGCCAUUUAACACUUAAAUACCAAGUUCCUAGUCAUACCCAGAGGAAGCAAUGUAGUUAAAUUAAGCUGUCCCCGGCCUGAAGAGCUAUUGUGAAAUAAUGAAUAUUCCAUAAUCAGGAAACGACGGAGUAGAGCAUGCAAGUCUUUGAAGCCUCAUGAAGUUUUGGAAUUAGCAUCUGUAUCAAAGUCUAAUUAAUGUUUCCUUUCUAAAUUCAUUUUCCAUCUAAUUGGCCAAGCUUUGAUUGGGAACUGGAAAUGUCAUCCAAAAAUAUUUCCUCUUACAAGACUACUCUAAGCAGAGUGUUUGUAGUCUGUCAUUAUAUUCCCUGUUCUGCGCUUUCCUCCUUCAAGGAUUUUCAGCCAUAGUCAUUGUAUUGAAAUAGCUUCCUCUGGGCAAAUUUUCAGUCCAAACUCAAUUGUAAACUGGACUUUAUUUUGGGUCAACGUAACUCAGAUAAAAUAAUGGCACCCUGUGCUCAGUGUCAGUGCUACAUGUCCACGUGAAGGAUUUAGACCGGUGGAGUUGAGCUCCCUGCCCACCACGCAGACAAAGCCACGGUUCAACUCCCAGCUUCGGUGAACCAUAAACGAGGGACAACCUUGUUUAACAUAUCACUGAAUCUGAUUGAUAUGUUAAUAUCAUCCAAGUUCAAAGCAACACGUCCUGGCAAGAUAAAUGCUAUUUUUUUCCUUGUAAUUUACCAUUUCCUUCUUCCGUAAAUCCAGCAGACGAAAUAACAAUGGAGAGGGGGAAGGGGGCUGGGUUGGACCGAUCAUUUUAAAAACUAAGAAUGCUUUGGCAAAGUCUCUCUAACCUGUUACUGUAAACAUCAGCAGUCCUGUCACUGUCUCGGCCCGUAUAAAUACGUUCAUGGCGCCCCACCUAAAUCAGUGAAAUAUGUACAUAGUUCAGACAUACAAGUUAAAUCCCACCAGCAACAAUAAAGAGUAGGAACCCGAGGUCUUUUCCCAGGUUUUAUCUUUUGCAGGCAUCAGUGCUGAGAGCGUAAUAAUGCAGUUACUAAAUCCUUCUCAGCCCGAAUCCUGCUUCCUCUGUUUGUGUGGCACUUCCUCCAAGUGUUGUGGCUGGGGCAGCGGAGCUGGGCCGAACACAAUAGUCCUGGGCCGAGAUUGUUGUCACCUGUCCUUUUUUGUCUCUCCGUUUUCGACCUACUACACCUAAGCUUGAAUAGGAAAGCCUGUGGGCAACUGCUUCUUCUACAAAAAACAAAACAAACCAACCAACCAAACAAACAAACCUGCAUUUACUUGACAUGAAAAAACAAAGUCCUGCUCCGUGCAGUCAGGCCUGUGCUCUUUCUCCCAUUGAAAUCAAACUUCUCCUCCGAAGCGUGUGUUGCCAGAGACCCAACCAGCGUAUGCCGUGCUGCUCGAGAAACUCCGUGGUCAUUCGUUGCUUAUUGUAUCAGUGGCUAUUUUAGAACUGUGGGAGAGAAGUGUUCAAAACUAAGUCCUCCGUGACUUCAAAGGCACUGCUGGCGUGACUAAGGGCUAGCACACAUUUAAAGCCUCCUCCUGGAGCUGCAUUGGCAGCGUGAGGGAUGACAACUGGGAUGACAAACCAGGCUGAAGCCUUGUCCUCCUGGGCUGCUUGAGGGGGCUGAAAAAGAGCUUUUACUCAGCCAGAAGAUAUUUUGUACUGAUAGAUUUCCAGCUGAUUAGGUGACAGGAAAUGUUUAGUCAACACAUUGUCAGAGCACCCACUUAUGUUUUGUUGUAAGGUGUUAGAAAUAGUUCGGGGGCUCCACAGCACUGCUCGUCUCUCCCCAUCCAGAUUUCACCUGGAUUUUUUGAACUUAAGGAGAGAGCGUUAGGUGAUCAGGAUGAUGGAUUGACAGGCCUGAAUAAGUUAUAAAGUGGUGUGAGGUGCCAAAAUGGUACCUUGGACAAUAUUACAGGCUGGACUUAAUCGCACAGCCAUACGUUCCCAGGUCCCACCUGCGGACAGUUCUGCAGGGCAGGGCUGCUCCAUUCUGCACUAGCUGAGGCUCUCCCGGCCCCAGCCAGGACCGGCCCCAUCACGAUAAGCUGUAUUAAUUGGGGUGGGAAGUCACCAGGGUGUGGGAUCACUCUGCUAACAUCUAUGCUUGGCAAGGAGCGUAGGUGUCCCGCAGUACCGGCUGGCUGGGCUCCCCUGGGCACCGAGAGCCCCACCAUGCCACGGCUCUCACCCUGGCUCAGGCCAAGCGCCUGCAGCGGGGAUCUUUGUUAGGAGAGUGAUGGAGGAGGCUGGUUCCCUACAGCACUUCCAGCAUCUUCUCUUGCCCUGGGCUGGCACCAGGGAAACUGGGGAAAGGCUGCCCUUUGCGCUUGGUACAGGGAUGCUGCUGAAGCACUGCUGACAGCUGAGCUGGUGGCAUCUCUUGAGCUUUUAUGGGGCCUUCUUCCAGACACAGAUACGGGUGGGGGAUUUGGAUUUACUGGCUGUGUCCUGGGCUGAACCCAGAGUAGGCACCCAGGGUACUGACCGAUGCCUCAUCCACUUGCUCAGGAGAAGGAGGUUUGUUGUGGGGGAACUGACCGGCAGCGCUGCUUGAGUGAUCAUCCUUAUUAAUGCUCAGAUGAUUGUUUGUGUUCCUUACAGUGGGAGGGGGCACAGUUCCUUCUUGGAGAGAAACACUGGCAAUUUAUGCUGCUUGGGGAAAAUGUAAAUAAUUACAAAUUUCCAUCCUACCGUCCAAGAAAGACAGCAUCAUUUUAUACAUUUGUUUUGGUGCGUUAUAAUUAUAAUCACUAUUCUGGAACGUUAUUGGAAAAAUUAUUGUUCUUUCUAAAAUGUUAAGUCAGUUUAAUGACUAAAAAGUUAAUAAGGCUCUUGUUCUUCUCAUUAUUUAUUUGUUAUCCAAUUACUUCACAAAAUUGGAUCUGAAAAUGUAAAAUAUAUUUUUAUGGAAUAACAAAUGCUACAAUUAAGUUUUGAAGAGCAGAUUGUUUUUAAAUUCCUGUGGAGGACAUUAAAACUGAAUUAAAAUAUUAAAAAUGAAAUCUGAAAAUGAACAACAGCAUUAGAGGGGAAUGAAAACAAAAAAAAAGGAAUGAAAACAAGUUAAUAAAAUUGUUGAUAGUAGAAGGGCAGGCAAACAUUAACCCUUUCACCUCCUGAGCUGUCUAACUCACCUCUUGGUCUCGGUUACCCGCUUAAGGACUGUAUGACACUCUGCAGAAUUAAACCAGCCCAGGCCUGGUUCUGAUCCCCCGCGGCUGUAAAACUGAAGCAACUAUUGUCACCAGUGGAGCUGCGCUGGUGAAGAUCUGGGUUUAGUGCAUGUAAUCAUUCCUUUGAAAUUUAAUGCACUUUACAGUUACUUGCCUGUCUUUGAUGCAUGCAAUAAAUUUCUAGUUAAAUGGAUC
This is a long non-coding RNA of Grus americana (Whooping crane), 8267 nucleotides long. RefSeq lists it as uncharacterized. NCBI's taxonomy places the organism in Eukaryota, Metazoa, Chordata, Aves, Gruiformes, Gruidae. The record is from RefSeq and is a predicted model, not a curated record. The transcript has 4 exons.